RNAcentral lists this ribosomal RNA (496 nucleotides) under uncultured bacterium. RNAcentral describes it as "partial 16S ribosomal RNA". It matches the Rfam family "Bacterial small subunit ribosomal RNA", at positions 28 to 506 of the family's 1533-position model. The record is from RNAcentral.
GAUGAACGCUGGCGGCGUGCCUAAUACAUGCAAGUCGAGCGAACGGACGAGAAGCUUGCUUCUCUGAUGUUAGCGGCGGACGGGUGAGUAACACGUGGAUAACCUACCUAUAAGACUGGGAUAACUUCGGGAAACCGUAGCUAAUACCGGAUAAUAUUUUGAACCGCAUGGUUCAAAAGUGAAAGACGGUCUUGCUGUCACUUAUAGAUGGAUCCGCGCUGCAUUAGCUAGUUGGUAAGGUAACGGCUUACCAAGGCAACGAUGCAUAGCCGACCUGAGAGGGCGAUCGGCCACACUGGAACUGAGACACGGUCCAGACUCCUACGGGAGGCAGCAGUAGGGAAUCUUCCGCAAUGGGCGAAAGCCUGACGGAGCAACGCCGCGUGAGUGAUGAAGGUCUUCGGAUCGUAAAACUCUGUUAUUAGGGAAGAACAUAUGUGUAAGUAACUGUGCACAUCUUGACGGUACCUAAUCAGAAAGCCACGGCUAACUACGU